AGCUCCAAUAGCGUAUAUUAAAGUUGUUGCAGUUAAAAAGCUCGUAGUUGGAUUUGUGGUGUGUCUAGUCGGCCUUUGCUCUUUGAGUGAUUGUGCUGUACUGGUCUGCCAUGUUUGGGUGGAAUCUGUGUGGCAUUAGGUUGUCGUGCAGGGGAUGCCCAUCGUUUACUGUGAAAAAAUUAGAGUGUUCAAAGCAGGCUUAUGCCGUUGAAUAUAUUAGCAUGGAAUAAUGAUAUAGGACCUUGGUACUAUUUUGUUGGUUUGCGCACUAAGGUAAUGAUUAAGAGGGACAGUUGGGGGUAUUUGUAUUCCAUUGUCAGAGGUGAAAUUCUUGGAUUUUUGGAAGACAAACUACUGCGAAAGCAUUUACCAAGGAUGUUUUCAUUA
RNAcentral lists this ribosomal RNA (387 nucleotides) under Pseudo-nitzschia sp. RNAcentral describes it as "partial small subunit ribosomal RNA". It matches the Rfam family "Eukaryotic small subunit ribosomal RNA", at positions 587 to 975 of the family's 1831-position model. The record is from RNAcentral. Lineage: Eukaryota; Bacillariophyta; Bacillariophyceae; Bacillariales; Bacillariaceae. RNAcentral also lists the same sequence under 1 other name.